This 216-nucleotide ribosomal RNA is filed under the name Glomeromycotina sp. RNAcentral describes it as "partial small subunit ribosomal RNA". The stretch from base 40 to 216 matches the Rfam family "Eukaryotic small subunit ribosomal RNA", at positions 686 to 864 of the family's 1831-position model. The record is from RNAcentral. Lineage: Eukaryota; Fungi; Glomeromycota.
GGGUCAGUAGGUUGGUCGUGCCACCGGUACGUACUGGUCUCACUGAUUCCUCCUUCCUGAAGAACCGUAAUGCCAUUAAUCUGGUGUUGCGGGGAAACAGGACUGUUACUUUGAAAAAAUUAGAGUGUUUAAAGCAAGCUAACGCUUGAACACAUUAACAUGGAAUAAUGAAAUAGGACGAUCGAUCCUAUUUUGUUGGUUUCUAGGAUUGACGUA